This 468-nucleotide ribosomal RNA is filed under the name uncultured bacterium. RNAcentral describes it as "partial 16S ribosomal RNA". It matches the Rfam family "Bacterial small subunit ribosomal RNA", at positions 28 to 507 of the family's 1533-position model. The record is from RNAcentral.
GACGAACGCUGGCGGCGUGCUUAACACAUGCAAGUCGAACGGAAAGGCACUGCUUUUGUGGGGUGCUCGAGUGGCGAACGGGUGAGUAACACGUGAGUAACCUGCCCUUGACUUUGGGAUAACUUCAGGAAACUGGGGCUAAUACCGGAUAGGAGCUCCUGCUGCAUGGUGGGGGUUGGAAAGUUUCGGCGGUUGGGGCUGGACUCGCGGCUUAUCAGCUUGUUGGUGGGGUAGUGGCUUACCAAGGCUUUGGAGGGUAGCCGGCCUGAGAGGGUGACCGGCCACAUUGGGACUGCGAUACGGCCCAGACUCCUACGUGAGGCAGCAGUGGGGAAUAUUGCACAAUGGGCGGACGCCUGAUGCAGCAACGCCGCGUGCGGGAUGACGGCCUUCGGGUUGUAAACCGCUUUCGCCUGUGGCGAAGCGUUAGUGACGGUAAUGGGUAAAGAAGCACCGGCUAACUACGUG